This is a long non-coding RNA of Pipra filicauda (Wire-tailed manakin), 314 nucleotides long. RefSeq lists it as uncharacterized. NCBI's taxonomy places the organism in Eukaryota, Metazoa, Chordata, Aves, Passeriformes, Pipridae. The record is from RefSeq and is a predicted model, not a curated record. The transcript has 3 exons.
CCCCCGACUGGAGCAAACAGCCAGCCCUGCUUUUUCUUCUGGUUGUCCCUGCUCAGGAGGGACUCGUAUCAGAAACAGCAGUGUCAUUUCUGCUCGUCAGCCACCCCAGUGAGUGAGUUCUCAUCAGCUCAAGUGACAACAAACGCAGCCGUGUGAGUUAAGCAGCCAUCUCCCACGAAUAGCGGCCAGGGCCAGGUCACAAACUUCCCAGAGCAGGGGACCCGUUUGCGUACAAUCCAAGCAAUUACCAGCAACGAACAGUACUUAGUAAACCCAAACAAAACCAAAAGAACCACUCCUGCUGCCAUCAACGC